Molecule: ribosomal RNA, 520 nt
Filed under: uncultured Glomus
Lineage: Eukaryota; Fungi; Glomeromycota; Glomeromycetes; Glomerales; Glomeraceae
Description: SSU rRNA
Rfam family: Eukaryotic small subunit ribosomal RNA
Source: RNAcentral
AGCAGCCGCGGUAAUUCCAGCUCCAAUAGCGUAUAUUAAAGUUGUUGCAGUUAAAAAGCUCGUAGUUGAAUUUCGGGAUCAAUUAGUCGGUCGUGCCUCUGGUACGUACUGGUUUUAUUGGUUCCUCCCUUCUGACGAAACAUGAUGUCAUUAAUUUGGUGUCGUGGAGAAUCAGGACUGUUACCUUGAAAAAAUUAGAGUGUUUAUAGCAGGCUAACGCUUGAAUACAUUAGCAUGGAAUAAUGAAAUAGGACGUUCGACCCUAUUUUGUUGGUUUCUAGGAUCGACGUAAUGAUUAAUAGGGAUAGUUGGGGGCAUUAGUAUUCAAUUGUCAGAGGUGAAAUUCUUGGAUUUAUUGAAGACUAACUACUGCGAAAGCAUUUGCCAAGGAUGUUUUCAUUAAUCAAGAACGAAAGUUAGGGGAUCGAAGACGAUCAGAUACCGUCGUAGUCUUGACCAUAAACUAUGCCGACUAGGGAUCGGAUGAUGUUAAUUUUUAAUGACUCAUUCGGCGCCUUAA